GAGUGAGUCCUCAGGGUGGAUUAGAGUUGAGUCCCCGUCCGCUCACUCUUACAUAAGCCUCAUACCGGCCCAUUAGUACUACGGUGGGUGACCACGUGGGAAUCCGGCGCUGCUGUACGUU
Molecule: ribosomal RNA, 121 nt
Filed under: Verruconis gallopava
Lineage: Eukaryota; Fungi; Ascomycota; Dothideomycetes; Venturiales; Sympoventuriaceae
Source: RNAcentral